AUGUUCACUUUGGCAGCAUGUAUACUAAAAUUGGAACAGUGCAGGGAAGAUUAACAUGGCCCCUGUACAAGGAUGACGUGCAGAUUCACAUAGCGUUCCAUAUUUUU
RNAcentral lists this small nuclear RNA (107 nucleotides) under Balaenoptera musculus (blue whale). Lineage: Eukaryota; Metazoa; Chordata; Mammalia; Artiodactyla; Balaenopteridae. The record is from RNAcentral.